This 497-nucleotide ribosomal RNA is filed under the name uncultured bacterium. RNAcentral describes it as "partial 16S ribosomal RNA". It matches the Rfam family "Bacterial small subunit ribosomal RNA", at positions 28 to 507 of the family's 1533-position model. The record is from RNAcentral.
GAUGAACGCUGGCGGCGUGCCUAAUACAUGCAAGUCGAGCGAACAGACGAGGAGCUUGCUCCUCUGACGUUAGCGGCGGACGGGUGAGUAACACGUGGAUAACCUACCUAUAAGACUGGGAUAACUUCGGGAAACCGGAGCUAAUACCGGAUAAUAUAUUGAACCGCAUGGUUCAAUAGUGAAAGACGGUUUUGCUGUCACUUAUAGAUGGAUCCGCGCCGCAUUAGCUAGUUGGUAAGGUAACGGCUUACCAAGGCAACGAUGCGUAGCCGACCUGAGAGGGUGAUCGGCCACACUGGAACUGAGACACGGUCCAGACUCCUACGGGAAGCAGCAGUAGGGAAUCUUCCGCAAUGGGCGAAAGCCUGACGGAGCAACGCCGCGUGAGUGAUGAAGGUCUUCGGAUCGUAAAACUCUGUUAUUAGGGAAGAACAAAUGUGUAAGUAACUAUGCACGUCUUGACGGUACCUAGUCAGAAAGCCACGGCUAACUACGUG